RNAcentral lists this ribosomal RNA (253 nucleotides) under uncultured bacterium. RNAcentral's name for it is "partial 16S ribosomal RNA". It matches the Rfam family "Bacterial small subunit ribosomal RNA", at positions 524 to 776 of the family's 1533-position model. The record is from RNAcentral.
UACAGAGACUGCAAGCGUUAUUCGGAUUCACUGGGCGUAAAGGGCGCGUAGGCGGCACUGUUAGUCAGGCGUGAAAUUCCUGGGCUCAACCUGGGGACUGCGCUUGAUACAGCAGAGCUUGAGGAUGGAAGAGGGUCGCGGAAUUCCCAGUGUAGAGGUGAAAUUCGUAGAUAUUGGGAAGAACACCGGUGGCGAAGGCGGCGACCUGGUCCAUUACUGACGCUGAGGCGCGACAGCGUGGGGAGCAAACAGG